Suncus etruscus (white-toothed pygmy shrew) is the source of this 92-nucleotide small nucleolar RNA. Lineage: Eukaryota; Metazoa; Chordata; Mammalia; Eulipotyphla; Soricidae. The record is from RefSeq and is a predicted model, not a curated record.
CUCAAUGAGUUGCCAUGCUAAGACUGAGUCACCAGAUAGGGCAGUGUUGCAUUUGGGUGCCAGUUGAGUUUAACAAAACUUCUUGUGUGAGA